GCGGGUUGGUGCUCACGACGAGCGCGGAGAGGGCGGCCGAGACCGCCUCGUUGAUCGCCGUCUGCCGCGCGACGUCGCCAAAUACACCGCGCAACACUCGUCGAUGGAUCCCACCCUCGGAUGACGAGGGAUGGACGCCGCCGCAAGCCGCCUGCGCCAUGGCAAACGCGCACGCGUGCAGCGGCGUCCAUCCCCUGCCGCUGACGACGUUGUCGCCGAGGUUGACGAGGGCACCCACGGCGGCGGCGCCGCGGUGGCGGAUGAUCGCGGCUAUGACCGCGUUCACGGUGUUCGAGUCCCCAGACGUGCAGGCGGCGCGGAGCAACGUGGCGAUGCCGGCGUUGGUGUUC
RNAcentral lists this long non-coding RNA (350 nucleotides) under Micromonas commoda. RNAcentral describes it as "long non-coding RNA (MCOM_LNC000427)". Lineage: Eukaryota; Viridiplantae; Chlorophyta; Mamiellophyceae; Mamiellales; Mamiellaceae. The record is from RNAcentral.